UCAUCCCCAUUCCGUGGGGCAGACAUCCCCAUCAGCCCCUGCCCUGGCAUUUGGGGGCAUUUGGGGGGCAGUGGGGCCAACGUCAGCCAGGCAAUGGGGCGAUAUGCAGCGGGCAUGCGUUCUUCCGAAAUCGCCAGCGCUGGCACAAGCCACCGUGCCUCUGGUGCGAGCGGAGAGUGUGAAGUUAGGAGAUAAAGAAGGAAUUAGGAGAUAAAGUCUGCCUAAUCCCGGCUGCUCCAUGCAAUUAAAAUGAGCUUCACCCCGCUGUAAUUGGAUGGAAGCCGCCCGCCAGCAGCACCGCGGCUGGGAGGAUGCGCCGCGCCGAGCACGGGGACUUAUCUCCGCCGCAGAGAAGCGCGAGGGCAGCGGCACCGGGCGCGGGAGUUAAUGGGAUGAAAGCGGAAAGGCUGACACAAAGGAUUAGCGCCCGAAAUCCCAGCGUUUGCUGGGAAGGUUUCCUCGCAUGGCACCGUGGAGCUGCACCGGGGAGGGGGCUGGCCUGGCCCCCCGGCCCCUCCGUAGGGUCCUAACGACACGUCCAGCUGCUCGUAUUAAACAGGAAUAAAAAAAAAAAAAACCCAAGUGCAGAUUAAAAGGACGCUGAUGAAAUGCCAGGAGAUGAGUUACGGCCCUAAUAAACCACCGCCUCCUGACGGGGGUGGGUGCGGGGGGCGGUUUAUGAGGCCAUUUAGACGGCGCUGGCAGAAAGGUGUAGGAAAGCCAUAAAGGCUCCGUCGCCUCUCCUGGCCCCUGAACACCAGAGCGUGGCUGUGUCAUAAAUCCACGGCAGGGCUGGGGGCCCUCGGCCCCACCGCUGCCCCAGGAGAAGCUGGGUGAAGCCGGGGUCUGGGUGGGUGGCGGCAGCUGCAGGGUGAGAGGAGGGAUGGGGUCAUCCAGGCACAGGGGCUGGGACGUGCCCUCACCGUUGGCCACCGCUCACUGCUCAGAUGGGGAUGGGGAUGGGACGGGGAUGGGGAUGGAGAUUGAGACAGGGAUGAGGCUGGGGAUGGGGACGGGGAUGGGGAUGGAGAUUGAGACAGGGAUGAGGCUGGGGAUGGGACGGGGAUGGGGAUGGUACUGGCUAGUGCUUUCCAGUGCAGGCUGCCUCAGUCAGCCUGACUCACCACAUCCGGGUUGGGUCAUGGUUUCAGCUUUGUCCUCCCGGGGCGCAGUCUCAGCCCCACACCUGGGUGACGCUGGGGACAGCAUGAUGGAUACACCUGUGGCUAUGGAGCCUGAGCCCUCUGACAGCCGGCGUGGGGCUCUUGGGGAAUGGUCUGGGGGCAGCAGGGAUCUGUUAGGGGCAGGGGGCAGCCGGGGGUCCCCAGGAGCAGACAAGACCCCACGGUCCCCAUGCAGGACAAGGGUGGGGGCCCCUCUCCCCCCACCACAUCCUGACCCAAUUUUGGGGCCCACACCUCCCACCGCUUCCCACGCUGCCUCAUUAACGAGGAAAGCCGGGAACGGCACGGAGCAUCGGCAGGCUGCGAGCGGGGAGCCGAGCCCAAACCCUCACGCAGAGGGGGAACUGCGGGUUUCUGCCGUCCCUUUGAACUCCGGCAGCCGCCUGGAGCUGCGGUUCCCUGAGCACGGAGCAGGG
This 1600-nucleotide long non-coding RNA is filed under the name Gallus gallus (chicken). RNAcentral describes it as "lncRNA (ENSGALG00010018751.1)". Lineage: Eukaryota; Metazoa; Chordata; Aves; Galliformes; Phasianidae. The record is from RNAcentral.